AAAGUCGUAACAAGGUUUCCGUAGGUGAACCUGCGGAAGGAUCAUUAAUGAAUUAAAGGGUGCUGUUCCUUCAUCGGACAGACCCGACCUUCAUUUCUAACACUGUGCACUUUAUAUACUGUCAUUGUUUUUCUAUUGUCUGUAGGGGCUGUUUGCAGCCUGUCUCAGCACAAUGGAGGCGUUGACAGUUCAUUUUUUAAACUCUACAAAGUCUAGAAUGUAACAACCAUACAAACAAA
RNAcentral lists this unclassified non-coding RNA (239 nucleotides) under plant metagenome. Its description in RNAcentral is "partial contains small subunit ribosomal RNA and internal transcribed spacer 1". The stretch from base 1 to 47 matches the Rfam family "Eukaryotic small subunit ribosomal RNA", at positions 1785 to 1831 of the family's 1831-position model. The record is from RNAcentral.